ACAAUGAAGAGUUUGAUCCUGGCUCAGGAUGAACGCUAGCGGCAGGCCUAACACAUGCAAGUCGAGGGGUAACAGGGAAAAGCUUGCUUUUCCGCUGACGACCGGCGCACGGGUGCGUAACGCGUAUGCAACCUACCUUUUACAGGAGUAUAGCCCAGAGAAAUUUGGAUUAAUCCUCCAUAAUAUCUUUUUCUUGCAUAGGAAAAAGAUUAAAGCUUCGGUGGUAAAAGAUGGGCAUGCGUUUUAUUAGCUAGUAGGUGAGGUAACGGCUCACCUAGGCCACGAUAAAUAGGGGCCCUGAGAGGGGGAUCCCCCACACUGGUACUGAGACACGGACCAGACUCCUACGGGAGGCAGCAGUGAGGAAUAUUGGACAAUGGACGAAAGU
Molecule: ribosomal RNA, 388 nt
Filed under: Flavobacteriaceae bacterium
Lineage: Bacteria; Pseudomonadati; Bacteroidota; Flavobacteriia; Flavobacteriales; Flavobacteriaceae
Description: bacterial SSU rRNA
Rfam family: Bacterial small subunit ribosomal RNA
Source: RNAcentral